GUGCCAGCAGCGCGGUAAUACGGAGGGUGCAAGCGUUAUCCGGAUUCAUUGGGUUUAAAGGGUGCGCAGGCGGAUACUUAAGUCAGUGGUGAAAUCCCGGGGCUCAACCCCGGAACUGCCAUUGAUACUGAAUAUCUGGAAUACGGUUGAAGUGGGCGGAAUGUAGCAUGUAGCGGUGAAAUGCAUAGAGAUGCUACAGAACACCGAUCGCGAAGGCAGCUCACUAAGCCGAUAUUGACGCUCAGGCACGAAAGCGUGGGGAGCGAACAGGAUUAGAUACCCUGGUAGUCCACGCCGUAAACGAUGAUAACUCGUUGUUGGCGACACACAGUCAGCGACUAAGCGAAAGCGAUAAGUUAUCCACCUGGGGAGUACGAUCGCAAGGUUGAAACUCAAAGAGUUAGUACGG
Molecule: ribosomal RNA, 409 nt
Filed under: uncultured bacterium
Lineage: Bacteria
Description: bacterial SSU rRNA
Rfam family: Bacterial small subunit ribosomal RNA
Source: RNAcentral